Molecule: transfer RNA, 73 nt
Filed under: Anguilla anguilla (European eel)
Lineage: Eukaryota; Metazoa; Chordata; Actinopteri; Anguilliformes; Anguillidae
Description: tRNA-OTHER
Source: RNAcentral
GGCACGGUGGUGCAGUGGGGAGCACUGUCGCCUCAAAGCAAGAAGGUCUUGGGUUCAAAUCUGGCCUGGGCCU